This 65-nucleotide transfer RNA is filed under the name Micropterix calthella. RNAcentral's name for it is "tRNA-Phe". The record is from RNAcentral. Lineage: Eukaryota; Metazoa; Arthropoda; Insecta; Lepidoptera; Micropterigidae.
AUUUAAAUAACUUAUAUUAGAGUAUAAUAUUGAAAAUAUUAAUGAGAUUUUUUAAUCUUUAAAUA